CCCAUCCCCUCCUCCCCAUUGAAUGUGCCCAAUCUCAUCUGAUCUCAGAAGCUAAGCAGGGUCGGGCCUGGUUAGUACUUGGUUUGGAGAAGGGA
This 95-nucleotide ribosomal RNA is filed under the name Propithecus coquereli (Coquerel's sifaka). The record is from RNAcentral. Lineage: Eukaryota; Metazoa; Chordata; Mammalia; Primates; Indriidae.